UUUCAGCUUACCAUCACGUCAUCGAUACCCCUCAGUUUAUGGUGUGACACCAACAUCGAAACACGUGUUUCAAAAUAGCUGAUCGUUUCUCAACUCCGGUAUUAUUACCAAUAAUAGCAAGUAUAUUGAUUCAAGAAUAGAAAAAAUUAAACACCGAGAAGAAAUGGAAUUGGAAGAAGGAUUGUUAACUGACAGAGACAGAUUUUUUAAUGAUACUAUGUAUUUCUUGAGACACUGCUACUUUUACAAGUAAUAUCGUCCUUUAUUGUUUGAAACAACGAUGAUAUUGCGGAUGGAUGAAGUUAGUGGGACA
This 313-nucleotide unclassified non-coding RNA is filed under the name Bombus terrestris (buff-tailed bumblebee). Its description in RNAcentral is "misc RNA ENSBTSG00005026759.1". Lineage: Eukaryota; Metazoa; Arthropoda; Insecta; Hymenoptera; Apidae. The record is from RNAcentral.